This is a non-coding RNA of Phrynosoma platyrhinos (Desert horned lizard), 70 nucleotides long. NCBI's taxonomy places the organism in Eukaryota, Metazoa, Chordata, Lepidosauria, Squamata, Phrynosomatidae. The record is from the annotation of a GenBank genome assembly.
GCCCUGGUGUAGUGGCUUGAUCUUUGGACUAGGACUCCAGGAGACCAAGGUUCAAAUCCUCCCUUGGGCA